CCUACGGGAGGCAGCAGUGGGGGAUAUUGCACAAUGGGGGGAACCCUGAUGCAGCGACGCCGCGUGGGUGAAGGAGCGUUUCGGCGCGUAAAGCCCUAUCGGCAGGGAAGAAGGAGGACGGUACCUGACUAAGAAGCCCCGGCUAACUACGUGCCAGCAGCCGCGGUAAUACGUAGGGGGCAAGCGUUAUCCGGAUUUACUGGGUGUAAAGGGGGCGCAGACGGCAGCGCAAGCCAGGAGUGAAAGCCCGGAGCCCAACCCCGGGACUGCUCUUGGAACUGCGCGGCUGGAGUGCAGGAGGGGCAGGCGGAAUUCCUGGUGUAGCGGUGGAAUGCGUAGAUAUCAGGAGGAACACCGGUGGCGAAGGCGGCCUGCUGGACUGCGACUGACGUUGAGGCCCGAAAGCGUGGGGAGCAAACAGGAUUAGAUACCCUUGUAGUC
RNAcentral lists this ribosomal RNA (441 nucleotides) under uncultured bacterium. RNAcentral describes it as "partial 16S ribosomal RNA". It matches the Rfam family "Bacterial small subunit ribosomal RNA", at positions 338 to 795 of the family's 1533-position model. The record is from RNAcentral.